UGGGGAAUAUUGCACAAUGGGGGAAACCCUGAUGCAGCGACGCCGCGUGAGUGAAGAAGUAUUUCGGUAUGUAAAGCUCUAUCAGCAAGGAAGAAAAUGACGGUACUUGACUAAGAAGCCCCGGCUAACUACGUGCCAGCAGCCGCGGUAAUACGUAGGGGGCAAGCGUUAUCCGGAUUUACUGGGUGUAAAGGGAGCGUAGACGGUUUGGCAAGUCAGAUGUGAAAGCCCAGGGCUCAACCCUGGGACUGCAUUUGAAACUGUUAAACUAGAGUGCAGGAGAGGUAAGUGGAAUUCCUAGUGUAGCGGUGAAAUGCGUAGAUAUUAGGAGGAACACCAGUGGCGAAGGCGACUUACUGGACUGUAACUGACGUUGAGGCUCGAAAGCGUGGGGAGCAAACAGG
RNAcentral lists this ribosomal RNA (404 nucleotides) under uncultured bacterium. RNAcentral's name for it is "bacterial SSU rRNA". It matches the Rfam family "Bacterial small subunit ribosomal RNA", at positions 355 to 776 of the family's 1533-position model. The record is from RNAcentral.